GGGGCUGUCCAAGCCCGAUAAGUACCGCAAGCUCAGCUUCUUCGCCUUUUGGCCUUGACCAAGCUAGCACGAGGUAGAAGAAUCAUCUUGAUUGGUUCCGGCGGCUAGUUGCGCACAAAGGCGACACACACAUACGCUAAUGGAUCCUCAAGCUAGCUACGUAGAAGAAGCUCACACAAGACAUGAAGUGGCUCCUUCAACUUACUUCACUCCGAGCCUGCCACGAUUCGCUUCACUCCGCCCUGCCUCCGUCUUGGCACGCCCACUCCAAGCCAGACUUGACGUCACCGGCCCC
This 295-nucleotide long non-coding RNA is filed under the name Hordeum vulgare. Its description in RNAcentral is "long non-coding RNA (HVUL_LNC009530)". Lineage: Eukaryota; Viridiplantae; Streptophyta; Magnoliopsida; Poales; Poaceae. The record is from RNAcentral.